UGGGGAAUUUUGCACAAUGGGGGAAACCCUGAUGCAGCGACGCCGCGUGAUUUAGAAGGCCUUCGGGUUGUAAAAAUCUUUUCUAUGGGAAGAAAAUGACAGUACCAUAGGAAUAAGGACCGGCUAAUUACGUGCCAGCAGCCGCGGUAAUACGUAAGGUCCGAGCGUUGUCCGGAAUCAUUGGGCGUAAAGGGUACGUAGGCGGGUAAGCAAGUUAGAAGUGAAAUCCUAUAGCUCAACUAUAGUAAGCUUUUAAAAAUGCUCAUAUUGAGGGAUGGAAGGGAAAGUGGAAUUCCUAGGGGAGCGGUGAAAGGCGCAGAUAUUAGGAGGAAUACCGGUGGCGAAGGCGACUUUCUGGCCAUAACCUGACGCUGAGGUACGAAAGCGUGGGUAGCAAACAGG
RNAcentral lists this ribosomal RNA (402 nucleotides) under bacterium. Its description in RNAcentral is "partial 16S ribosomal RNA". It matches the Rfam family "Bacterial small subunit ribosomal RNA", at positions 355 to 776 of the family's 1533-position model. The record is from RNAcentral.